Molecule: ribosomal RNA, 885 nt
Filed under: uncultured Acidobacteriota bacterium
Lineage: Bacteria; Pseudomonadati; Acidobacteriota
Description: bacterial SSU rRNA
Rfam family: Bacterial small subunit ribosomal RNA
Source: RNAcentral
CAAGUCGAGUGCGCGUGCCGUAGCAAUACGGUAUGGCGCACGGCGCACGGGUGCGUAACACGUGGGCAAUCUGCCCUCCGAUGGGGAAUAACUCCGGGAAACCGAAGCUAAUUCCGCAUAACAUUCCCUGGACUCCGGUUCGGGGAUUCAAAGCAGCAAUGCGUCGGAGGAGGAGCCCGCGCCCGAUUAGCUAGUUGGUGAGGUAACGGCUCACCAAGGCUAUGAUCGGUAGCUGGUCUGAGAGGAUGGCCAGCCACACUGGAACUGAGACACGGUCCAGACUCCUACGGGAGGCAGCAGUGGGGAAUCUUGCGCAAUGGGCGAAAGCCUGACGCAGCGACGCCGCGUGGGGGAUGAAGCUUCUCGGAGUGUAAACCCCUUUCGACCGGGACGAAUGCCCGCAAGGGAGUGACGGUACCGGUAGAAGAAGCCCCGGCUAACUACGUGCCAGCAGCCGCGGUAAGACGUAGGGGGCCAGCGUUGUUCGGAAUUACUGGGUGAAAAGGGUUCGUAGGCGGUGUGGCAAGUCGGGAGUGAAAUUUCUGGGCUUAACUCAGAACCUGCUUCCGAAACUGCUGUGCUCGAGUGUGGGAGAGGCGCGUGGAAUUGCAGGUGUAGCGGUGAAAUGCGUAGAUAUCUGCAGGAACACCCGUGGCGAAAGCGGCGCGCUGGACCACUACUGACGCUGAGGAACGAAAGCUAGGGGAGCAAACAGGAUUAGAUACCCUGGUAGUCCUAGCCCUAAACGAUCAGGACUUGGGGUGCCACCCGUUCGGGUGUCGUCCCGGAGCUAACGCGUUAAGUCCUGCACCUGGGGAGUACGGUCGCAAGACUGAAACUCAAAGGAAUUGACGGGGGCCCGCACAAGCGGUGGAACAUGUGGUU